AUACGGAGGGUGCAAGCGUCACUGGGAAUCACUGGGCGUAAAGCGCGCGCAGGCGGCUAUUUAAGUUGGAUGUGAAAGCCUACGGCUCAACCGUAGAACUGCAUCCAAAACUAUUUAGCUAGAGUGUGGGAGAGGAAGAUGGAAUUAGUUGUGUAGGGGUAAAAUCCGUAGAGAUAACUAGGAAUACCAAAAGCGAAGGCAAUCUUCUGGAACACUACUGACGCUGAGGCGCGAAAGCGUGGGGAGCAAACAGGAUUAGAUACCCUAGUAGUCC
This 274-nucleotide ribosomal RNA is filed under the name uncultured bacterium. Its description in RNAcentral is "partial 16S ribosomal RNA". It matches the Rfam family "Bacterial small subunit ribosomal RNA", at positions 523 to 796 of the family's 1533-position model. The record is from RNAcentral.